CCUUCCCACCCUACUUCCCGGCACUGCACAGAUUCAUCCUCCUGUACCAGGCAAGGCGCGUGGAGGACAAGGCCCAGGGGCGCGAGCUGGUGUUUGCUCUGUGGCAGCAGCUGGGCGCGGUGCUGAAGGACAUCACCCCUGAGGGCCUGGAGAUCCUGCUGCCCUUCGUGCUCUCACUCAUGUCCGAGGAGCACACAGCUGUGUACACGGCCUGGUAUCUGUUUGAGCCUGUUGCCAAGGCACUGGGCCCCAAAAAUGCCAAUAAGUACCUCCUGAAGCCGCUCAUUGGUGCCUACGAGAGCCCCUGCCAGCUACACGGCCGCUUCUACCUGUACACGGACUGCUUUGUGGCCCAGCUGAUGGUGCGGCUGGGCCUGCAGGCAUUUCUCACUCACCUGCUGCCCCAUGUCCUGCAGGUGCUGGCGGGCGCAGAGGCCUCCCAGGAGGAGAGCAAGGACCUGGCAGGGGCUGCUGAGGAGGAGGAGAGCGGGCUGCCCAGGGCCGGGCCUGGCUCCUGUGCUUUUGGGGAGGAGAUUCCCAUGGAUGGGGAGCCUCCUGCCUCCUCGGGCCUGGGGCUCCCAGACUACACGUCCGGCGUCAGCUUCCACGACCAGGCUGACCUCCCUGAGACAGAGGACUUCCAAGCCGGGCUCUAUGUGACUGAGUCUCCCCAGCCCCAGGAGGCUGAGGCUGUGAGCCUGGGCCGGCUGAGUGACAAGAGCAGCACCAGCGAGACCUCCCUGGGUGAGGAGCGGGCUCCAGACGAGGGGGGUGCCCCCGUGGACAAGAGCAGCCUUCGAUCAGGUGACAGCAGCCAGGACUUGAAGCAAAGCGAGGGCUCUGAGGAGGAAGAGGAGGAGGAGGACAGCUGCGUGGUGCUAGAGGAGGAGGAGGGGGAGCAGGAGGAGGUCACCGGGGCACCUGAGCUCACUCUGUCUGACACGGUGCUGUCCAUGGAGACGGUUGUGGCCAGCGGCAGUGGGGGAGAUGGAGAAGAAGAGGAGGAGGCACUGCCUGAGCAGUCAGAAGGCAAAGAACAGAAGAUCCUCCUUGAUACAGCCUGCAAGAUGGUCCGCUGGCUGUCUGCCAAGCUCGGCCCCACAGUGGCCUCUCGCCACGUGGCCCGGAACCUGCUCCGCCUGCUGACGUCUUGUUAUGUUGGACCCACUCGGCAGCAGUUCACAGUGAGCAGUGGCGAGAGCCCACCACUGAGUGCCGGCAACAUCUACCAGAAGAGGCCGGUCCUGGGCGACAUCGUGUCAGGGCCCGUGCUCAGCUGCCUCCUCCACAUCGCCCGCCUGUAUGGGGAGCCUGUCCUCACCUACCAGUACCUGCCCUACAUCAGCUACCUGGUGGCCCCAGGGAGUGCCUCAGGCCCCAGCCGACUGAACAGCCGUAAGGAGGCGGGGCUGCUGGCCGCGGUGACACUGACUCAGAAGAUCAUCGUGUACCUCUCAGACACCACACUCAUGGACAUCCUGCCCCGGAUCAGCCAUGAGGUCCUGCUGCCCGUGCUCAGCUUCCUCACCUCCCUCGUCACGGGGUUCCCAAGUGGGGCCCAGGCUCGGACCAUCCUGUGUGUGAAAACCAUCAGCCUCAUCGCUCUCAUCUGCCUGCGCAUCGGACAGGAGAUGGUCCAGCAGCACCUGAGCGAGCCUGUGGCCACCUUCUUCCAGGUCUUCUCUCAGCUGCAUGAGCUUCGGCAGCAGGAUCUGAAGCUGGACCCUGCGGGCCGUGGUGAGGGCCAGCUGCCACAGGUGGUCUUCUCUGAUGGGCAGCAGCGGUCCGUGGACCCCGCCCUGCUGGACGAGCUGCAGAAGGUGUUCACCCUGGAGAUGGCGUACACAAUCUACGUGCCCUUCUCCUGCCUGUUGGGUGACAUCAUCCGGAAAAUCAUCCCCAACCACGAGCUGGUUGGGGAGCUGGCGGCGCUGUACUUGGAGAGCAUCAGCCCCAGCAGUCGCAACCCUGCCAGCGUGGAACCCACCGUGCCCAGCACCGGCCCCGAGUGGGACCCCCAGGGUGGGGGCUGCCCUCAGGAUGACGGCCACUCAGGGACCUUUGGGAGCGUCCUGGUGGGGAACCGCAUUCAGAUCCCCAAUGACUCUCGGCCUGAGAACCCCGGACCGCUGGGCCCCAUCUCAGGGGUGGGUGGCGGGGGCCUGGGCAGCGGGAGCGACGACAAUGCCCUGAAGCAGGAGCUGCCGCGGAGCGUGCACGGGCUGAGCGGAAACUGGCUGGCGUACUGGCAGUACGAGAUCGGCGUGAGCCAGCAGGAUGCCCACUUUCACUUCCACCAGAUCCGCCUGCAGAGCUUCCCGGGCCACUCGGGGGCCGUCAAGUGCGUGGCACCCCUGAGCGGCGAGGACUUCUUCCUGAGCGGCAGCAAGGAUCGUACUGUGCGCCUCUGGCCGCUGUACAACUACGGCGACGGGACCAGCGAGACGGCCCCACGCCUCGUCUACACCCAGCACCGCAAGAGCGUCUUCUUCGUGGGCCAGCUUGAGGCCCCGCAGCACGUGGUGAGCUGUGACGGGGCUGUGCACGUCUGGGACCCCUUCACAGGGAAGACCCUUCGCACAGUGGAGCCGCUGGACAGCCGGGUGCCCCUGACUGCGGUGGCUGUCAUGCCCGCCCCCCACACCAGCAUCACCAUGGCCAGCUCUGACUCUACCCUGCGCUUUGUGGACUGCAGGAAGCCUGGUCUGCAGGUCAGGGUGGUCCAGUUCCCUGAGCACUCGCCUGGUUCUCUGGGGACCUGGCAAGGAGGAGAGACUCCCCAAAAACAGAAAGCCAGGAUGUCGUUCUGGGGCCCUAGUUAGUUUCUCUUUGGUGCUGGAUCACCCACAGCCACACAUCCUGCGGGGCAGGACUCUGGCCUGUGAUGGGGGUGGGGUUCUGGGCUUUUCAUGCCCCCUGAUGAGGGUCAGAGGCUCAGGCCUUCCUGCCGUGUGGGCUUGGGUGGUGGGCAGGGCCUUGGGGAGUGUGAGAUGGGAAGGUGGUGCCUCAGCUCAGCCGCCCUCUCCCUGCAGCACGAGUUCCGACUGGGCGGUGGGCUGAACCCUGGGCUUGUCCGUGCCCUGGCUGUCAGCCCCAGUGGCCGUAGUGUCGUGGCCGGCUUCUCCUCAGGCUUCAUGGUGCUCCUGGACACCCGCACGGGCCUGGUUCUGCGAGGCUGGCCAGCCCACGAGGGGGACAUUCUGCAGAUCAAGGCGGUGGAGGGCAGCGUCCUGGUCAGCUCCUCCUCUGACCAUUCCUUGACCGUCUGGAAGGAGCUGGAGCAGAAGCCCACCCAUCACUACAAGUCAGCAUCCGACCCCAUCCACACCUUUGACCUGUACGGCAGCGAGGUGGUCACUGGCACCGUGUCCAACAAGAUUGGCGUCUGCUCCCUGCUUGAGCCACCCUCGCAGGCCACCACGAAGCUCAGCUCUGAGAACUUCCGCGGCACGCUCACCAGCCUGGCCUUGCUGCCCACUAAACGCCACCUCCUGCUGGGCUCAGACAACGGGGUUAUCCGCCUCCUGGCAUAGACUGAGGCAGGAGCUGGCCGGGCAAGUGUGGGAAGACAUCUGCAGGCGCGUGUCUGCUCACCCUGUUCCCUGAGCAGCAGCUCCCUCCAGGGAGGCCCUGGGUCCCACGCCCUGGUGCCCACAUGGCCUGCCAACUAGGGCCUCCAACUGGAGUGGGGGAGUCCUGGCCCCUGAAUCACCAGAGCCACCAAGCCUGCCAGAGGGGUCUCAUUCAUGGCUUGGGGACACAGGGCUCCUAGCAAGCAGGAAGUAAGAGCAGGAGGAAGCAUUGCUACCUUCACUUCUCCCCAGCUCUGCCCUCUGGGUCCACAUGAGGACAGGGAAGCUCGGGAAGUGGAAGGGAGACUGGCCCUGCCCAGCCGGUCUCUAGCCCCUCAGCCCCCGCUGGGCACUCUCUGUCCCAUCCCUCUAGGACAGGGAAGCUGGCCUGGUCCAGGGCACUGAUGGUGCUUGGAUUCCAGCCUAAGGAAGGCUGGCCGUGGUCCAGGAGUUAAGGGCUUGGGUCUGGGGUUUAAGUGGCCACCCAUCCAGGCCCUGGCCAGUGUGGGACCGGGAGGGGAAGGAAGAAAGAGGCUAGGAGCAGGGGGGAGAAGGUGCACUUGGCCAGUGGCACCUGCCAGGAGUGAGUCCAUGCGUUGUCUGCCCACCCCUACCACAGUGUUUGUGCCUUGAGCUGAGGGGGUAGCCUCUGGGCCCUGAACCCCUGCUGGGGCUCCACGACCCUGAGAGAAGGGGUGAGAAGAAUCAUCUCUGCACCUCGGGUCUCUGCCAGAGGAAGACUUAAGCAUCCCUGCGGCCUCACAUUCUAGACAGAGAUGAGGUCCAGGGGUUGGCCCCUGCUGCCUCCUCACAAUUUGCAAUAGAUGUAAAUAGGACCAAUAAAUACUUUGGAAGAGCC
RNAcentral lists this small RNA (4431 nucleotides) under Pan troglodytes (chimpanzee). RNAcentral describes it as "retained intron". The record is from RNAcentral. Lineage: Eukaryota; Metazoa; Chordata; Mammalia; Primates; Hominidae.